Podarcis lilfordi (Lilford's wall lizard) is the source of this 5234-nucleotide non-coding RNA. The record is from the annotation of a GenBank genome assembly. Lineage: Eukaryota; Metazoa; Chordata; Lepidosauria; Squamata; Lacertidae.
AGUUGUGUGUGUAUGUGAAAGAGAGCGCGCGCGCUCCGUUCCUCUCCCCCUUUCUCCUCGCGCUCUCUCUCUCGCACGCGCUUGCGGGUGAGGGUGCACGCGCAGGCGCGCCCCCGCCGCGGCUCUCCGGCUGGCCACCCUGCUCCAGCUCAGAGCAAGCCGAGGCUGCCCAGAGAAAGGGAGGCGCCUCUCGCCGGUGCUGAUGUUGCAGCGAGGAGCCGCUGCUCUCCUCCUACUCCUCGUCGUCCUUCUCCGCCCUCUUCGCCGCUCCAGCCUCCUCGGAGUGCUCUCGCCAGUCCCAAUCGCGGAGAUCCGACGCCGCCGUUGCUGCCGCCGCCUCUCCUCCUCCUUCCCGCCUGCCGUGGGGUUCGCCGAAAGCUGGGAUCUGCGAGACAUGGAGCUUGUUUGGAGCACUUUGCUCCGCGCCGGGGCCCUCUGAUCGCCGGGCGGCGGCAACAGCAGCAAUAGGAGCAACAGCAACGUGCUCGCGGGAUCCGACCGCGCUCGCUCUCUUUUUCAGUCCCAGAAAAGCCCCAAAGCCACGGGGGAUCCGGCUCGGUGGCUGGCGAGAGAGGAGGGGGGAGGGAAGGAAGGAAGCGAGAGAAAGGAGGGAGAGAAAGCGGGGCAAAGCCGAUCCCUGGUGUCCGGAGCAUCGGGAGAUGACUUGUCGCCAGGAUCCGGUCUAAGCAGCCCAGGAGGAGGCGGUCUUCUCCUUUCUCGCCCUCCGUGCUUGCCUCCUCGUUUCUGUGCCAGAUUUGGCCCCCGAUCCCAGAGGAGACGACCGGACUGGGCUGGCCUUGGAGAGCGCAGGGGGCGAUUGGCAAGCGGCUGGGUCGCCAAGGACCGCCCCAGGAAAGGAGAGCUUUGAGGGCGCGAUCUCGGCAAGCAACUUGGGGGGCGUGUGUGGCUUGAUUUCCUCUGGUGGAUAUUGUACUCCCCCUUUAGCCCUUUCCGGGACCCGUAAUUUUAUUUUUUAAAGGGCCGCCCUUUUUUUGGCAGCGGAUCCGAUUGAUGCUACUAGCGUGGGGGGUUCUUCGCUUAUCGAUCCGCACCUUCGGCGUCGCUUCGUCUUUGUUUGAAUCGCCAACCAGGCAACCUAAGGAACUCUCUCCCCGAUGGCCGGGAAACUGCAGAAGGGCUGGUUUGCGGGCUGGUGGACUACCGGAGUUUGCUUAACGGCGCUUUCCUACGUCCCAGGUGAGCGAUCGUCUGAACAAGACGCUCUCUUCUUUUUCGUGCCUCUCAUAAGAACGAUGGUUCUCCGGUGGAGCUACCUUGGAGCGUUUGGGUCUCUGUGUGUCUCGGGAUCUCUGUAUAGGAGACCGAGAAAGUUGAGCAGGGCAACUGGAGGAAAGGUUUGCCUCGGUCUGGAGCAGGUGAUGGUGGUGGCACGAGUAUGGCGAGAGGGUGGGCAGCUGUCCUGGUGGCAUGGGGAAAGAAAGGGGUAUUAAAGACGCUGGGCAUUGGAUGCCAGCGGGUGCCAGGCUGGCUCCUGCCAGCCAGUGCCUGUUUAUUUUUUAAAUAAAAACCCAGUCUUGGCCACCUGAGGUACUACCAGCUCCCUUCACCUGCUGGGUUUACAGGGCACGAGUGCUACCCUGGUUUUGCCAGAGCGCAGCAGUUGGGAAGGCUAGCUUGCUCCAGCAUUGUGCCCUCCAACGCCCUAGGUGUGAUCUCCUCCGGGUCCAAAGCGUCAGGUAGAGAACGCCGCUCUUCUUCCAUCGCCCACCCUUGACAGAAUACGUCUUGGUUCUGAUAGAUGCCCAGCCAGCAGGGUACAGAUGCCCUAAUAUACACCCUUUUCCUGCAACUCUCUCCUUUAUGCCUGACUCUUGGUAGGAAGCAGAAAAGGGGAAGGUGCUGUCUCUUGGUACGAUCUUGUCUUUUUUUCUUUUUAAUUUCCUGCGCCCAGCUGGGUAGCUGACCCAGCUUGCCCACUCUUCCCCAACUGAAAAGAGAAAAAAAAACCCUCCUCUUUGUGCUUUUGUUUGCUUUGCACGCAGUGGGUUAAUCCAGUUGUGGAUUGGGGUGGGGGGACACACACAUCCCGAGAAGACACAAGGUGGCUGUGCAGGAUGAUUCCUGGGGAGGCUGGAGACAGAGGCUUGGAGAAAAAACGGGAAGUCCAAGCUGUUGGGUGUCAGCGCCCUUAAUGGAAAACCGUCUUCCAGGAGGAAAUCCAAGUGUGGUUUUUGGGGGAGGUCUUGUUGGGAGGUUUAACUCUUUGGGCUGUGGAGGCAACUGGCUGCCCUGCAAGGAAGAUGUGCAAGUGUGUGUAUCACUGCCCCCAGGUCUGCCAUGCCCAGCUUGUCUUGCAGGGGUAGGAAGGGGCUAUGUGUGUGUGUGUGUGUGUGUGUGUGUGUGCUGCAGUGGGAGGGGUUGCCUUUUGGAGAGGGAGCACUGCAGCGGGCAAUAAAAGGGGAAAGAUGCUCUGGGAGGAUACAGCUGCUGCUGCUACCACUGAGUGUUCAGUUCCAGAAAUGUGCAGGGAAGUGAGUGCCCACAGUUUGCAAGGGGCCGGAGAACCCAGAGGGGUUUUCCUUCUGCAAGCAGCUGGGUCGCUGGAGGAAAGCUGUGGUGGGAGCCUGUUCCGAGUCCAUGUUCACUGCUGGCUUUUUGGUGCCCGCCGGAGUGGCAGUUGGCAAAGAGGUCUAUUGGCUUGGCUCUCUGUAGCGGUGUUGCUGCUGCUGGUACAGCAGGGGGCAGGCUGAACUGAGGCCUGAGGAUGGGCGGAAGCUACGGGGAGAGUAGGAAGUGGGAUCCAGAGUCUUCAAAGCACACAGCAGUUGGUAGUGACCCCAUCCUUUCUCACCUAGGGCCAGCAAGGUGGCAUAACAGUAUCUCAUAGGAGGCGAUCCCCAGGAACGAGCUGUGUUCAUGAUGGAAAGGGAGUCUUUGCCUUGGAACUCCUUCCAUAGAGGAUUUUAAGCUGCUAGUCCCUAGUGUUCCUUGCAUUGAAAGAGAGGCUGCUCUGAAAGCUGGUUUUCUUGUCCCAAUCCCAGAGUUGUGGCGGGAGAAGAGGAUUCGGAUCAUAAGUUUAAAAUCUGAAGAGGGAGGUACUGGGAAUAUGAUGGACCUCUAAAGUGGAUGUUAGUUUUCCAGAGGCAGGUGGAUGAUUUAGGUAGGGUUACUUUUUUAAAAAGUAUUUUGAACCUCAGGACUGGAGGCCAGCAGGUGAGACACUGGUGUUGUCAGAAUUUGCGUUGAGGGGAUCCCUUCUAACUCCAUGCUCCCCAAAACUUCAGCACAUUUUUUCUGUAAACUUUGGUGAAUGGAAUCAAAUCCAUGAAGUAAUCUUGAGUGGGCUCUUACUUUCCAAAUAUAUAUAUCUUUAUGUCUUGGUAGCUUAAUAAAAUACUUAACACAUGCACCCACGGUUUUGAAAUCUCUCUCUUUCUGUCUCUCUCCCCCCCCCCCCCAACUUCCUUGCCAAGGAAAAAGAAUCAAUAUUAUGCAAGCAUGCUUUCCGGGAAUAUUGUGUGUUUAAGAGUGGGGGUGUGGUGUGGGGAGUGUGUGAUGUUUGUGUUCCAAAAGCUUUUAACUGUUGCUUCCUAGGCUCAAGAAAUUCACUGAAAUCUGCCUACUCAAACACACGCAUUGGUUUAUCUAUACAGUAGCUGAAUGGGAUAUCUGGGACCAGAAUGCCACUUGGAAUUGAACUGCAUAUGUUAAAUUUGAAUAAAGUUCUCAGGGGUUUUCACACAGCUAUUUGCAGAAUCUUGAAGUGAAGAGGUUUCUGCUUGCAGAUAUGCAUUCCAAGAGUUUGAUGGGAGCAAAGUAUUACAAUGCAUCUAUCCCAUAUUUAGUCAUGGAUGUCACUCUUCAAUUCUCUUCCCAGCACCCAAAUCUCCUGCUUCUUCUUUCUUUUUUUUGCAUUUGGACAACACCAUCCACAUACAUGGUGCUGUAAGUUUUAUAUGAGGAAAAAGUCCUUGCCCCAGGGAGCCUACAGUGUAAAUGUUGAUAGGCGAGGGUGGGGAAGAAAGAAGAGAGAAGUGGGGAGAAGCAAAGCUAACAGAGUGACUGUGAGCAAGUGUAGUUACUUAGGUGAGCAAUUGUUUAUACCUAUGUAUUAGAAAGGUGUAGUUUGUAUUCUGAUAGUAAAAUAAAUCCCACUUCCUUAGGCUUUUGUUUCAGUUGUGGAUGAGGACAGAAGGUUUACUCCAAAGGCCUCAUGUGGCUGUGUUGCAGCAUCAUGCUAGUCCACAUUGUGCCACUUUGAGCAUUCAUUCAUUCUGGCAUGUGUCUCAGAGCACCGUAGAUGCUGAUGUCUGUGGCAGUUUAGCUCACAAGGGCAGUUAAGACCACAUCUGGUUUCAGGAGCAGAAUGAUAUAUUUCUAUGGCAUUUCCUGGUUAUGAUAUAGCAGGCUCAUCUAUUAGCUCCCUUCCUUGAUUCUGGGGUGCGGUGGGAGGAACCCCACUUGUAUUUCAAGAAAAGCUAGUGCUAGCAGCUGAGGAGAAAGAGACCUUUGCUUUGGAAACUUCCUGCAGCUGGGGUGUCCAGCAGUUAACAGUAGCAGGGAGGUGAUGCUUAUAUGCAUAUGAUGAAACUUGUGGUGUGGAAAUCUUGCACAUUAGGGAGUGGGGGGAAAGGGAGAAGAGAUUUAAGAGUGCAUGAUUAUUGUUUUCAGUUCUCUCCUAGGUCAAAAGCACGCGCUUUUAAUUCACCUUGCUCCCCACCCCCCCUUAUUUCCUGGCCUGAUGCCCUGGACAGAGUGAAUCUGCCUUCUCUUACCAGACGGGCUGCAAUGGAAUCAUCAGGCUGUCUUUAAGUGUUUUCUCCGCAGUAUCUUUCAUGUUGUUCAUAUGCAUCCCUUUAAUAUGGGGAUAUAGAUAUAUUACUCUCACUACUUAUUGGUUUUGCCUGCCGCUCCUUAUUACAAUAUUUGCUUUUUUCUCUUGUGCUAAUAAAGGGGAUCUAUAUAUAUAUAUGCCAUAAAAGUGAUGGAAGAUCCCCUUAAGAAAAAAAAGCAGUACUGUAUCCUGUUCCGUAAAUGUGCCUUUAGUGUGCUCGGCUCAAGUACCCAUUGCGGAUCUGCCUUCUGCAAUCUAUGAUGCAACCCGCGUACUUUCCCUUCCCUUGCAGAGUUUAUAGCAGGCUGUGGCACGUUUGGAUGACUCGAGACGCAGGUCUGACUAUUUAAUACUCUGAAACAUCCGGGAGUGGGGUGGGGGUGCAAGAUGACAAACCGCUCAGGGCUGCUGGGCGCGAUGCUCUUAAAAAGAAGCUUUU